GUCUAUGGCCAUGCCACCCUGAACACGCCCGAUCUCCUCUGAUCUCAGAAGCAAAGGAGGGUCGGGCCUGGUUAGUACUUGGAUGUGAGACCACCUAGGAAUACCAGGUGCUGUAGGCU
This 119-nucleotide ribosomal RNA is filed under the name Pteropus alecto (black flying fox). Lineage: Eukaryota; Metazoa; Chordata; Mammalia; Chiroptera; Pteropodidae. The record is from RNAcentral.